GCAGUUGUGCCCUAGUGGAUAAGGAGAUUGACUGGUGAUAAGAUUUGCUGGUUUGAACCCCAGCCCACUGCG
Danionella cerebrum is the source of this 72-nucleotide non-coding RNA. The record is from the annotation of a GenBank genome assembly. NCBI's taxonomy places the organism in Eukaryota, Metazoa, Chordata, Actinopteri, Cypriniformes, Danionidae.